Non-coding RNA from Paramuricea clavata, 357 nucleotides. The record is from the annotation of a GenBank genome assembly. NCBI's taxonomy places the organism in Eukaryota, Metazoa, Cnidaria, Anthozoa, Malacalcyonacea, Plexauridae.
CAGCUAGUUGUCAGUCGCUUUCAACUCUUCAAUAUACCAGUGGGACCAUAAGAGGUCCAGGAUAUCCUGGCAAGUAUCCAAACAACGUCGUGUACUGUUGGCGUAUCUACGUUCCACCGAACUAUGUGGUUAAACUCAAUAUUAAUUAUCUCCAAUUGGAGGCCUGUUCCGGAUGCAGUUGUGAUUCAGUGGAAGUGUUUGAUGGUUACUCCGCCCUUUCAACUAGACUUGGAAAAUUAUGCGCGAGAAGUUGGCGGGUAACAUCUUCUGGACGGUAUCUUUUUGUAAAGUUUACUUCAGAUGCCUCAGGAACAGGAUCUGCCUUCUCAGCGUCAUAUUACAGAGCCGUUAGAGGUA